This 62-nucleotide transfer RNA is filed under the name Pseudotibiozus cerasopus. RNAcentral's name for it is "tRNA-Ala". Lineage: Eukaryota; Metazoa; Arthropoda; Diplopoda; Spirostreptida; Spirostreptidae. The record is from RNAcentral.
AGGUAUAUAAUUAAAAUAUAAUAUUUAAUUUGCACUUAAAACUUACCAAUGCGGUUAUGCCU